GAUGAAGAACGUAGCGAAAUGCGAAAAGUAAUGUGAAUUGCAGAAUUCAGUGAACCAUCGAAUCUUUGAACGCACAUUGCGCCCGCUGGAACUCCGGCGGGCACGCCUGUCCGAGCGUCAUUUCAACCCUCAGGCCCCCCUUCGCGGGCGGGCCUGGUGUUGGGGCCCGGCCGCUACCCUGCGGCCGUCCCCUAAAUUCAGUGGCGGCCUCGCCGUGAUCCCUUGCGUAGUAAUGCACCUCGCACCGGAGAGCGCCGUGGCCACGCCGUAAAACCCCCAAUUUUCAAUGGUUGACCUCGGAUCAGGUGGGAAUACCCGCUGAACUUAAGCAUAUCAAUAGCGGAGGA
RNAcentral lists this unclassified non-coding RNA (347 nucleotides) under soil metagenome. Its description in RNAcentral is "partial contains 5.8S ribosomal RNA, internal transcribed spacer 2, and large subunit ribosomal RNA". The stretch from base 1 to 120 matches the Rfam family "5.8S ribosomal RNA", at positions 35 to 154 of the family's 154-position model. The record is from RNAcentral.